UCCAUUUUGUUGAGCCUCCUGAUAG
RNAcentral lists this non-coding RNA (25 nucleotides) under Mus musculus (house mouse). The record is from RNAcentral. Lineage: Eukaryota; Metazoa; Chordata; Mammalia; Rodentia; Muridae.